This 253-nucleotide ribosomal RNA is filed under the name uncultured bacterium. Its description in RNAcentral is "partial 16S ribosomal RNA". It matches the Rfam family "Bacterial small subunit ribosomal RNA", at positions 524 to 776 of the family's 1533-position model. The record is from RNAcentral.
UACGUAGGAUGCAAGCGUUGUCCGGAUUUACUGGGCGUAAAGCGCGCGCAGGCGGCUCUUUAAGUAUGGCGUGAAAUCUCCCUGCUCAACGGGGAGGGUGCGUUGUAGACUGAGGAGCUUGAGGUCGGUAGAGGGGGGUGGAAUUGCUGGUGUAGCGGUGAAAUGCGUAGAUAUCUGGAGGAACACCGGUGGCGAAGGCGGCAUCCUGGACCGGUAUUGACGCUGAGGCGCGAAAGCCAGGGGAGCAAACGGG